Strigops habroptila (Kakapo) is the source of this 6605-nucleotide long non-coding RNA. RefSeq lists it as uncharacterized. Lineage: Eukaryota; Metazoa; Chordata; Aves; Psittaciformes; Psittacidae. The record is from RefSeq and is a predicted model, not a curated record. The transcript is spliced from 2 exons.
AGGAGUAAAAUAAACAUGUACCAGAACAGCACACACAGACACACACAUAUGAUAAAAAGUCUGGUCUUUCACCUAAUUUAGACCAGAAAAUUGGCAUCCGAUUUUAUUGUUCAGACCGACUCCAAGAACACAAACAUAUUUUUUCCCUUCAAAACAAGAACUGCCAAAAUAUAAAGAAUGAUAUCUGCUGGUUUGAACUAAUUGGGAUUAACUGUUUCCUGGCUGCUUUGUGUGGAACAAGUGCUAUUUUACUCAGCUGAUAGCAGCAGCAGUACCAUGGCUGACUUAAGGAAAUGGGUGGUGCGAGGGUCCUUGCAGCCUGUGGCUGUACCCAGCAAUGGGAUCUAUGCAGGAGGGACUUUCUGACCUGUUUUUAAACACCUUUGGGUGUUUAAAACAGGAAUAGUCUGUUCCCAAAGUCUCAGCCCUAGGAUGCUGCUUGCCCAUCUCCCAUUGCAGUGUGGAGAGGCGAGUUUGGAGCUGCCAAGCCAGACAGGGGAGCGUGGCAGUGAAAAUACUGAGCUUUCAGCAAUUUGGUUCCAUUUUAAUUAGCAUUUUCUGUGCACUUUCUGAUUCCCCAUUUUCUCGUCCAGCUGGUGAGACUGUUUGUAUUUCUGGAAGUGUUUCUGAAAGGCAGGGAAAAAAGCCUAAUCCUAUCAAGAACCCAAGUACUUAAUUAAAAUCAUUGGGAUUAGAAUAACAUUGAAAUUAAGAGUUGUGUCUGUUUGUCUUCCAGGGUUUAGGAUCCGUGUUUUCAAGCCUUUUGCUGUAAACAGGAGCCCUGGAAAUUUAUCUUGAGGUUUCAAAAUAGCCAAAUGUUGUAAAACUUGCCAGAAGGACUGAGGGAGCUGGGAAAACUGGCCUUGCAAGAGGAUGCAAUGAAGGAGCAACAGAGCCUGUGGCUCUGUUCGGGAAGUUGAAAUAGGUGUAGGAAAAACAACCUCAAAAGCAUGUUCUGUAAGGGCUGAUCUGAAGAACCACACUAAAAAAGCCACGUGUAAGGCAUGGCAUGUUGUAUGGAGGAGCCAUGCAGCUUAUUUUUAGCACCAUUUCCUGGCACCUUGUGUAUUAACUACUUCCAGACCGAGCGCAUCGGACAGGGAUGGUCGGAGUCGCUGGAAUUCGUGUGCUGAUUGUGCACAGCAUGUGUGUGACAGGGCGGCUGAUACAACUGCAGAGCAGAAGUGAAGAAGGAAGAGGAGUAUAUUUGAUGCAGCUCCCAGGGGACCUCUUGAGGCAGAGAUGCCUGAGCACUGCGGUAUGCCACUUGCCCAGAUGUUUACACCAAAGCAAACCUGGAGACAAGCUGUUCCUGGGAGUAGCCCACAUGGACCAGCACGCGAAAGCAUCCCCAGGGAUGCUGCAUGGGGCCACCGGCUCUACUAGCCUUCUGUCCCCAUCAGCUGGUGUGCUGCAGGCACUGUCCCUGGGGAGUCAUGGUGGACCAGGCCACCGGGCUGGAGAGGUCCUGUGUGUUCAGGGGGUCACAUCAGCGGAUAAUACUUUCUGUAUGAAUAGCUAAUCUCUUGUCAGGGUGUCCCUCAGGCUAGAUAUAUGCCAAAGACCUGAGCUGGCCCCCAAGAAAAUAGAUAAGACAGAUGCCAAACAGAAGUGGAGAUCUGGUGGCUUUGCUUAUUCUCAUGUUUCAUUAAAGCUUUCAGCAAUGCUGUAAAGGGCUGAUGCUCUCCCUCCUUCUCACAGGCAGAGCAUGCGUGAGGGCCUCAGACCAUCAUUUCCUCAUAGAAUUGGUUAUAUUUGAUUUAUUCAAUACUAUGCCAAGUUUGUGAGAGAAGACGUAAAGUGCUGGGGGAGGAGGAACCUUCUAGGAAUAACAUUUCCUUGGAUGACCUUCAGGAAUACAUUGAAGGAGCUGCGCAAGAAGAGGAGGGAAGGAUAGGGGAACCCUCUUCUUUAAGGAAAAUGGACGUUUUCAUGGAGCUGUGGGUAUUUGUCUUUCCCAACAGAUCCCAUUUUGGUGGGUCCCACAGGAAGAGAUCUUCCUUUCCCUGCCAGUCUGCUUUUGCUGCUAGGUCAUUGAGGAAACCACUAAACCAGCUGAGAGAACAUUGAUUUUGGGUUGCUGCUUUGUUUGUUUAAUGAUAUAGUCUACUGUGAAAAUCUGGGGCAAAUUAAGGAAAAACAAAGCAAAGAUUUUUCUUGGGAGGAAAAGAAGAAAAUCAACCUCAGAAACCCACAAUUGUGUUUCAUAACUUGAUGGAGAGGAAGAAGCAAGCACAUGGACAGCCCUGACAACCACCUGCAUGAGACUCCCUAAUUCCUAGGUCUAGAAAAUAAGUGAUCCCACAAAAAGACCCCUGGCAAGAUGUCAGGAGCUCCCAAACCAUGAAAAGAAGUUAUGCAUUUUUCCCCCCCUUUGCUAAUUUUGCCUCCCUUAAGGCUUCCUUUGAUUCACCCUCCUUGCUGUGAUUUUCCCAUCUGAUUGCAGAGGUGAUGAGGGAGAUUCCCAGUCCCCAGCAUCCUCACACCUGGCUCUGAUUUCCCUAUAAUUGAUGAUGUGCCAAGUGUCGAAGGUCUGACUCCAAUUUGGGUGUCAAAUGGGGAGAGGUGGCUCGUGAAAGAUGGUCAGCUCUGGGGCAGGGCUCAGCUGCCAGUUUACAGGCACUUAAAGCUUGUACAAGUAGUAGGUUAGGGAGCUGCGAAUGUGGACCAUGGGCAAAGGGAGAGGCUGGGCUUGCAGGGGAUGCCUUGGCUAAAGGGAUGGAGGCAGUGGGUGAGAGCUGGGAAAGCCUCCCUGCAUGGCUGCAUGGCUUUGGUGGCUGUAGGACCCUGUCUCCAAAGAGAAAUAUAAAGGCUUUGCUAUCCUGCAUCAAUCCUGGCAGCCAUGCACAUGGUUCAGAAGCAGCAGCUUUUCUUCUGAUUUCUAUCCCUGCUUCUGAUUUGCUCUGUCACCUCAGGCAAAUCAUUUAACCCCAGCUUCAACCUAUUUUACGGGGAUGUUGCAAGGCUUAAUUAAGGCUUGUAAAAGGUCUUGAGUUCCUGAAAGGUGCCUGCUGGAUUAGGGUGAUUAAUCACAUGUUGAUGGGAGAGAGAUUGUGGGGGUAAAUCCUAGCAGUGAACAAUAGGGCAGAUGAUAUUUUUCCCUGGCGGAAUAAGACAAGGGGGUUGUAAAAGCAUGCAUGUAUCAGAUUUAUUCAUUCUGGAUAUCAAGUGGUUGAAGCUGUAGGGAGGCUCUGCGGCCAAAACCACAGAAAUCUGACUGCGUGGCUGAGAUAAAGACAUUCCGAACUUGUGCAGAAAUCGGUCAAAGAUGCAUAAAUUAGGGUGUUUUCCCCCAAACUUCAGAGUCAAAAAGGCAAACAAUUUGUAAAUCUUGAUGUUUGAGGAAUAAAUGUUUGGUGCUUCCUCUGAACGCCAUCCUAACGCUCUGAAAACAUCCCCCUGUUAGUAUUCAUUGCUGUAGAGCAAAAGGGAAGAUUAUUCCAAGGAGGAGGAGGAAAAAAUCCCUGCACCUUGUGCUGAGCUUUAUGCAUUUCUUCGCAUGAUUGCCCAAUUGCCCUUCCAUGUGGAAAAGGAGAGGGAGGGGGGAAAUGCUGGGCUCUGUGCAGUUAUUUGCAAGAUGACCCAGUUCUCCUUCUUUGUGGAAGAAACAGAGAAGGAAAACUCGCCUGCUGAACUCUGUGCAGUGGUUUUUGGCUUAUUUGUUUUUUGACCCAGUUCUUUUCUCCUAGAACUCCAUCUCCUUCAAUAGGCUGGCCCCUAAUUUACACCAGCAUCCUGAAAAGGAGCUGGCGCUUGGAAAGCAAACCAGGCAAAGGCUGAACAGGCUUUGAUCCGCUUUGAAUUCAGCAGGCUUUGCCCCAGCAGUUGAUGGUUUCAAAGGGACGGGCCCUGCGCUGGGCUGGAUCUGCAGGGAUUUGCCUUUGAAUAGCAAGGAGGGCUCUCCAUGGCCCCGGUGACUGGAAGGAAUGCGGCGAGCCCUUGCGCAUGCAAACAAGGGUGAUUUCAUUCGCUUUUCAGAGGCAGAGCAUAAAUCAAUAUUGUUUUGUAGAUCGCUUGGCUUGCCACAUUUUUUUCCUUGGGGAACAUCCAGUAUCCAUGUACUAUGGGGAAGGACACUGCAGGGGAGAGGGGAUGGCUGUGCCCUCUGUUUUCACCUCAAUAUCCAGCUCAGUGAAAACUGGAUUUUAUUCUUCCAGGGAACUAAACAGAGCCAGCCAAAACCAGAGAUUAUCAUCACUAAGGAAUCCUGCCUGGGGAGCUUCCACCAACGAGGAGAGCAGUUAGUUUGAGAUGUUUUUAAGCAUUUUUUUACAGCAUGGCAGUUUUAGUUGAGCUAAAUGAAGCUUAGUGCAGUGGGGAAUUCAGCGUGCACAUGUUUAAAAAUCUUUUAAGAUUGGCUAUUUAACUCCAGCAAAUAAUCAAGUCCCAGGAACAAUUUAGAUGAGUAAUAUAUUAAAAACAGGCUUAUACAGAUCCAAGAAAAACGUUGGAGGAUCCAUAGGGGUCAUUGUUAUGCACUGCAGGCUUAAAUAUAUUGACUUUUACAACUGCAAAUGGAUGGUUGCAUAGUGGUUUCCACCGAAGAGCAGUUUCAGUUGUGAUAACUCAUACAAAGUGAAAUUCAGUCUUGUGCUUGGAGCCGGCAUGAGGUCUAAGAACUGAGUGAACUUAAUCUUUAUCUCUCUACAAACAUUACAUCUCUUUAAUCCUUGAGGCAUGCCAUUCCUGGGAGGACCCUGCAGAAAGGAUGCAACAGAGCAGGGCAGGAAUCAGAUUUGUUAUUUAUGGAAAAAAUCUGAAAUCAGAGAAAACACAUUCUGGAAUUACAGGAAAGAAAACAUUUUCCAAAGGGGAAGAAUAUCUCAAAAACAAAAAUAAACUGAUUUUUUUCACUGAUGAAAGUGUUUUUCCCUUCUCAGAAAUUAUAUCAUUGUAUUGCAAGCAAAAGAGAAAGUUGCGGUGUUCCAGUCAGAGUAAUGUCAACUCUUCCAUUUCGGGAAAAUCUUUUUGCAGAGGGGAUUUCUUUUUGACAGAACAAGUAUGAAUCUUACAGAUUUUGAUAGAAAACUGUUUCUUUUCCAGUGGGGGGAGAACACCCAAACAACUUCCUUCUCGAAAAACCUCUUUGUUAAACCCAGAGUGCCUACAGGAGUUUGAGAUUUAAAAAAACAGUGUUGAUGAAACUGGGUUUCCAUUGGCACCAGGACCUAAACACUCAGCAAAGAAACCAGCAUGGGAGCUGUAAUCAGCAUGUGAAGAACAGCCCCCGGCACAGCCAGAUCCCCUGAAGACUGCUGAAUAGUUACAUUUCUGUAAUGCUUCCUCCUAUGACGCGGUGUGACAGCAGAUAUUUCCUCCCUCAAGAUGAAUUUGUCAUUAACAAAGCCAGGAGAGGUGACAGUGGCAAAAGCAGGGCUUGUAAUCACCUUCAGUAGCAAGAUAUUUUGCAGGAACACAAACAUCUGAAGGAAAAUAUUUUGCUUUAUUCCCAAAUAUUCAUUUCUGGUCCAUUGGAAGAGCUAUAUAGUUUACUAAUGAGGGAAUUGGGAGCCAUGAGCUGUAAUCCUUGGCUGAGUGAAGCAAUGUGCUCAUUACAGCUGUCAAUCAUCUCCCUCCUGUCUCCUAUUUCUGAUCUGUAAAUUGAGGUUAAUACCCUCUAUACACCAAAGGUGCAGGGAGGAUUAAUUAGACAGCAUCUCUAACACUGCAGUCUUCUCUUCGGGCAAUGGAUGGAGCUCCUGAAGAGACUGAAAUGGCUCAUUGGAAAGCUGUGUUCUAUUGCAAACCUGAAUGUGGGUGCUUCGGUUCUGAAUCACUGAGAUAUUUUUGUUUUCAUCUGAAAAUUACCAAUAUGAAACAAAUGUUUCUGGCACAAGGGGAACAGGAGGGAAAACUGACCUUUAAAAGGUGUUUACAGGUUUACCUGUGAAGGGAAGCAGGGAGAUUUUUCUUAGUGAAGAAAAAAAUCCUAACUCCAGCAUCCCAAAUACUUGGCAGCAGCAUAAUCAUGACUUUAAUAGAGCUCUUGGUUUUCCUGUUACAAUAAAUGAGGUCUGCUCUCUGUUAAAAACAAAGCAAAGGGGAAGCAAACAACCCACAACCCCAACCCUUGUAGGUGUCCAGGGAAAUGGCUUCACUAUUGGGCAUAUCUCAAAACCUAUCCAGGAACUGUGUGUUCUCCAACGGAUUAAAUUUACCCACCAGUCACUUGUUGGGCUACAUUAGCAAACAAAACAAACUGGCUGACAGUUUGUGCUGUACUGCACAGCAAAAAACCACCACUCCCAAUGGCUUUUCCAAUUCCAGGCAUGGAGCAGGCAACUUAACUACUUAUUGACUCAGCUCUGCUCACCCAGAAAGGACCCAACCUGAUGGAUGGCUCCUGACCUCUCCUCUACGCAUGGCCACCAGCCAGACUGCCACUUGGGUGUCUUCUGCACAGGGAGAUACAAACCUCCCAUCUGGCAAGACUCCAGCCCUAUUUUUGUUCCAUACCAUGGUAAGAAAUACUACACUUCCCUGAAUGGAUGACCUCGAAGCCACACGUGGGUUAAAUAGAGGCAUAAAUUAUCUGGACUUGCAGCCAUGAAACCAUUCUCUGGGAGGAAAGGGUAAAUAAACAAAUCAUUUAUUAGCAAGUAAAA